CGAGCGGCAAGGGGGAGCAAUCCUCCCUAGAGCGGCGGACUGGUGAGUAACGCGUGGGUGACCUACCUUGGGGAUGGGGAUAGUCGCUAGAAAUAGCGGGUAAUACCGAAUAAUGUUGCCGGGCCUUGGCCUGGCAAAGAAAGGGGCUUUGGCCCCGCCCCAAGAUGGGCCCGCGUUCCAUUAGCUGGUUGGCAGGGUAAAGGCCUACCAAGGCGAUGAUGGGUAGCCGGCCUGAGAGGGUGAACGGCCACACUGGGACUGAGAUACGGCCCAGACUCCUACGGGAGGCAGCAGCUAAGAAUAUUCCGCAAUGGGCGAAAGCCUGACGGAGCGACGCCGCGUGUGCGAAGAAGGCCGAAAGGUUGUAAAGCACUUUUGCGGGCGAAGAAUAAGCAGGGCAGGGAAUGGCCUUGCGAUGACGUUAGCCCGUGAAUAAGCCCCGGCUAAUUACGUGCCAGCAGCCGCGGUAACACGUAAGGGGCGAGCGUUGUUCGGAAUUAUUGGGCGUAAAGGGCGCGUAGGCGGUUACGCAAGUCUGGCGUGAAAGGCAAGGGCUCAACCCUUGGACUGCGUUAGAAACUGUGAAACUAGAGUCAUGGAGGGGGAGCUGGAAUUCCUGGUGUAGGGGUGAAAUCUGUAGAUAUCAGGAAGAACACCGGUGGCGAAGGCGAGCUUCUAGCCAAUGACUGACGCUGAGGCGCGAAAGUGCGGGGAGCAAACAGGAUUAGAUACCCUGGUAGUCCGCACUAUAAACGAUGUGCACUAGUGUUGGGCCGAGCGGUUCAGUGCCGGAGCGAACGGAUAAGUGCACCGCCUGGGGAGUAUGCCCGCAAGGGUGAAACUCA
Molecule: ribosomal RNA, 845 nt
Filed under: uncultured bacterium
Lineage: Bacteria
Description: bacterial SSU rRNA
Rfam family: Bacterial small subunit ribosomal RNA
Source: RNAcentral